RNAcentral lists this ribosomal RNA (292 nucleotides) under uncultured beta proteobacterium. Its description in RNAcentral is "partial 16S ribosomal RNA". It matches the Rfam family "Bacterial small subunit ribosomal RNA", at positions 505 to 796 of the family's 1533-position model. The record is from RNAcentral. Lineage: Bacteria; Pseudomonadati; Pseudomonadota; Betaproteobacteria.
GUGUCAGCCGCCGCGGUAAUACGAAGGUGGCGAAUGUUGCUCGGAUUCACUGGGCGUAAAGCGUCUGUAGGUGGCUUGUUAAGUUAGAGGUGAAAGCCCCGCGCUCAACGUGGGAACUGCCUUUAAAACUGGCGAGCUUGAGAGUAUCAGAGGAAGGCGGAAUAACUGGUGUAGAGGUAAAAUUCAUAGAUAUCAGUUGGAACAUCCAUGGCGAAGGCAGCUUUCUGGGGUAUUUCUGACACUGAGAGACGACAGCGUGGGGAGCAAACAGGAUUAGAUACCCCAGUAGUCC